This 376-nucleotide ribosomal RNA is filed under the name uncultured bacterium. Its description in RNAcentral is "bacterial SSU rRNA". It matches the Rfam family "Bacterial small subunit ribosomal RNA", at positions 524 to 898 of the family's 1533-position model. The record is from RNAcentral.
UACGUAGGGUGCGAGCGUUAAUCGGAAUUACUGGGCGUAAAGCGUGCGCAGGCGGCUCUAUAAGACAGAUGUGAAAUCCCCGGGCUUAACCUGGGAACUGCGUUUGUGACUGUAGGGCUUGAGUGCGGCAGAGGGGGGUGGAAUUCCACGUGUAGCAGUGAAAUGCGUAGAGAUGUGGAGGAACACCGAUGGCGAAGGCAGCCCCCUGGGUCGACACUGACGCUCAUGCACGAAAGCGUGGGGAGCAAACAGGAUUAGAUACCCUGGUAGUCCACGCCCUAAACGAUGCGAACUAGGUGUUGGGGAAGGAGACUUCUUUAGUACCGUAGCUAACGCGUGAAGUUCGCCGCCUGGGGAGUACGGUCGCAAGAUUAAA